CGGUCGGCAGUUCACCCAGGCGUCGCCUCCCCUGUUGGGGUGCUAAACCUGCCU
The sequence is a regulatory RNA element, 54 nucleotides long. It matches the Rfam family "COG3860 RNA". The record is from Rfam.